GAUAUCAUAGUUCAAAUUUUCCAUAAUCUUUGUCGUCAGAACCCAUCCCCUCGCCCCUUCGCCAUUUUCGCCGAUUUUCGGAGCUUCAAAAUCAAACACCUGUUCUGGACUGCCAAUUCGCUCUUACAGAUUCCACUCCAUCUAAUUCUGAUUGUAGGUAAGUCAUUAACUAAUAUAUUCAUAUUGUUUAUUAUAUUGAUUUUAGGACAAUAUUUCUUAAAGUUUUCCCCUGUAUUGAAUGCUCUGUGGUACAGAUUUUAUGGUUUUGAGUUAGUACUUGGAGAGGAAUAAGGAAAUUUUGUAGCAACACGACUUCUUUUCCAUGUUUACAAUAGAAACGUUGGAGGUUAAAAAAAUUGAAUCUGCUGUAGACAUUUUAUUAUUGUUUACUUAUCCACACCUAUUAAAAGAUAAAUGAAUUAAAUAGUUGGUUUUAGGAGAAUUGUUAGCUGUUUUGAUUUUCUGAAAUAGUUCUUAAAGCUUAGGAUUAUAAUUUGCAAAAGCUAUAAACUUUAUUCAUAACAAGUACAGAAACUUAAAGAAACAAAAUAAUAGUUCUAAAGAAUUACAUCAUAAUUCUAGUACAAUAUGAAUCAUCCUCUUUGCUAUGAGGCACCACUUCGAUGUCGUCGUCUUCCUCCUCGACCCCAAAAAUAAAAGAACAGCCCGGUGCACAAGGCAUUUCACGUCCACGCAGAGUUCGGGGAAAGGCCGAACCCAAGGGAUGUGAUGUAAACAUCGCAACCUAAUACAAACAGUAGCGAUUGCUUCCACUGUUCGAACCCGUGAGCUAUAGGUCACACGGAAACUUGUUUCAAGGUUUCCCUUCUUUGACCCCAACAAUAAUCAUCAUAAUUAAGUCCCAAGUCCAAGGUUCUCCGCAAGCUCUCUAAUCUCGACUUUAUUAUGACAACAAUAUGGCUCCCCUCAAUGGUAUUGAUAGUUGUGACUUGGAUGGAACUACUCAAUACUAUGGUACCCUACCGGGUGAUUAUAAACGUAAGUUGAUGGAAACUAUAAUAUAUAUGUUGGUGUUCAGGCUGAAAUUGAUGAAAAAGGGCAAAUUUUGCCCCUCAAUUUUAUGGUACACCAGUUCUACAAAGUAUCUGCAAAAUUGGGUUAUCUCGCGCUGUUGCAUGGAACAAUUGGAUUAAGAAUGAGUAAGAAAAUUAAAUGGCAGACAUGAAGCUAUAAUUUGAUUGUGCAAUAACUGGUGAACUUGAGCACAAUUUAAAAGACUACUAUUCACAAAGUAAUGCAAUAACUGGUGAACUUGAAAGGCCUAGUGUUGUCACGCGCUUAAGUCAUGAUGUGAGGUUCAAAAUAUGUUGAGCGCUUCACCUCGCAUUACGGGCACUUCUGUCAUCAUCAAGGCUCUAAAGCAUACUUUUCCUUGCCAAUGAGCAUAAUCGUGAAGAGGCCACACCAAACAAUUGACUUUAUCGUAAUUCUUUUUUAAUUUCUUUGUCUAUAUAUUUAACUUAUAAUUGUUAGUCUUGGAUUGCACAUAACUAUUUGUAUUUAGAGUGGUAACAACUGCUGAGAGCACAAUGUAAUGUAAAAGAUACUACCUUGAUUUGUGAAUAGUAAUGUAUUGCAUUUUUGUGCAGGGAAAGGAGGAAGAUGUUUUUGUGAUUCAUUCGGUCGUAAUAUUUCCCGAACCCGAAUACUAAAUUUUUUAAGGCUGCAGAAAGCUGCAAAGCAGACUGGAUUGGAAAGCUAGGAAACGACUAUAUGCCCUUCAAGGUAAUCCAGUUCAUUAGUUGUUUACACAAUGCCAACAAUGUUCAAAUCUCCCAUUACUCCUCUGGUUUUAGUAAAUAAUGAAAUGCCAUUGAAGAAUUCAGCAGUAGUAUGACGCCUUCAGUUUUGCUUUCCCAGAGAUGGUAGAUUGGAAUGAAUACUAGAUUAGUUCAGCAAAGGUUUAGUCAUCAACCUUGUGUCACUAA
This 1949-nucleotide long non-coding RNA is filed under the name Nicotiana tabacum (common tobacco). RNAcentral describes it as "long non-coding RNA (NTAB_LNC004107)". Lineage: Eukaryota; Viridiplantae; Streptophyta; Magnoliopsida; Solanales; Solanaceae. The record is from RNAcentral.